AUGGAUCGGUACGAGGUGGUGAGGGACAUCGGGUCCGGCAACUUCGGGGUGGCCAAGCUGGUGCGGGACGUCAGGACCAAGGAGCACUUCGCCGUCAAGUUCAUCGAGCGAGGCCACAAGAUUGAUGAACAUGUUCAAAGGGAGAUUAUGAACCACCGGUCACUGAAGCAUCCAAAUAUUAUUCGAUUCAAGGAGGUCGUGCUAACUCAGACACAUUUGGCAAUAGUUAUGGAAUAUGCCUCUGGCGGCGAGCUAUUUCAAAGGAUUUGCAACGCAGGGAGAUUUAGCGAGGAUGAGGGAAGAUUCUUCUUCCAACAAUUGAUUUCUGGAGUGAGCUAUUGUCACUCUAUGCAAGUAUGUCAUAGAGAUUUGAAACUAGAAAACACUCUAUUGGAUGGUAGUGUCGCACCUCGACUCAAGAUUUGUGACUUCGGUUACUCCAAGUCUUCUGUCUUGCACUCUCAACCGAAGUCAACUGUCGGCACGCCGGCAUACAUCGCCCCGGAGGUCCUCUCUAGAAGAGAGUAUGAUGGAAAGGUCGCCGAUGUUUGGUCUUGUGGAGUAACGCUCUAUGUGAUGCUUGUGGGGGCAUAUCCUUUCGAGGACCCUGAUGAGCCAAGGAACUUCCGCAAAACUAUCACCAGGAUACUCAGCGUACAGUACUCCGUUCCGGACUACGUUCGAGUCUCGAUGGAUUGCAUACAUCUGUUGUCCCGCAUCUUCGUUGGAAAUCCUCAGCAGCGAAUAACCAUCCCGGAGAUCAAGAACCAUCCAUGGUUCCUCAAGAGAUUGCCCGUUGAGAUGACCGAUGAGUACCAAAGGAGCAUGCAUCUGGCAGACAUGAACACGCCGUCACAGAGUCUGGAAGAAGCCAUGGCGAUCAUCCAGGAGGCGCAGAAACCUGGCGAUAACGCCCUAGGGAUUGCCGGGCAGGUUGCCUGCCUGGGGAGCAUGGAUCUAGACGACAUCGAUUUCGAUAUCGACGACAUUGAUGUUGAGAGCAGCGGGGAUUUCGUGUGCCCGUUGUGA
Molecule: ribosomal RNA, 1029 nt
Filed under: Triticum aestivum (bread wheat)
Lineage: Eukaryota; Viridiplantae; Streptophyta; Magnoliopsida; Poales; Poaceae
Description: partial small subunit ribosomal RNA
Source: RNAcentral